GUCAAAAUAGUCACUAGAUUCUGAGGUAAGUGAUCACUUGCAAAUCUUUCUAGUAUCAAUAUAUGGAAAAACUAUCCAUCUGCUUUGACGCCUCUUAGAGGGAUAUGUCUUUGUCAAUAUCGUAGUUUCAACUUAUUGUUUCUUAGAAUUCAAUUUGCUAUGUGUUUUGAAUGAAUGGUCGUUUUCAGAAAGAAGCUUCUAGAUCUAACAUACAAAGCAGAGGAGAUGUAUAUAACUCCUUUAGAAUAGUUUGUAUGGUGCGUAAUGAAUUCUGAUUUGCCUCUCUCUUGUUGGUUGUUUGUACCCAAGUUAAUUUCUUACGAUCUUAGGUUUGUCUUCUAAUACUUCAUUUUAUAUUCGUAAAUCUUAUAUAAGAACCAAAAACCAUACAUACAACAGAAGGGACUUAUUAGGACAUAUUUAGUUCCAAGUUUUACCCAAAAUAUCACCUCAACAGUUAUGAUGCUAACCAACCAUUUCUUGUAGUUCUUAGACUACUCAUGACAGCCAAACCAACUUUGACAUUAUUAAUGUGAAGGUAAAAAUUAAAUAUGAAUUCUUCAGUUGUUUUCAGGUUUGCAGUUUUCAAUGCUUUUGUAUCUGUUGCCUAACAAUUUGUAUUGAAAUCAGCUUUCCACACUGUCUUCUUGCAGACUAAAGUGGAAAUCUCUAUCGAUAAAAGGUGUGAAAUGAAUAUAAUAGCCCUCUCUGUCCUAUCAACUUGAUCUUGAUCUCUUGCUUAUUAGUUAUCACCUUUGACUUCAUAUGGUAUGUCUUCAAUCUUUAUGCUGUAGUUUUGUUUCUCAUGUAGUUUGAAGUUCUUGCCUCUCUUCUCCAGCAAGUAACAAGUGAGUAUCCUCUCCUUACACUACUUUCUAGCUCGCUUGUUGGGGUUUCUUCAUGGUAUUUUUUUUUAAUGGAUUCUUCAUUUAAACUGCAUGAUGUAGAUUACUCUGCUAAAUUAUUUACUUCCCAAACAGUUCUGUUGUAUUACGUAUGCAGACAUAGCAAACGUUGUUGUUCAAAAGGCAAGAUAGAGAGAAAUUACAAAAAAUGGUAAGGCUUGAUGUGUGCAGAUUGACCCGCGAUUCUGAUUUAUUAUGAAGACUUUCGUUCUUGGAAUCCUUGGAGAUGUGUUCGAACUACUUUGAAUGGGAAGAUGUUGAUGGUUUAAUGCAUACUUGUUUGGUGUGUUGUGUUUACACUGGAUAAAUGAUCUGAUGAAAAAAAAUAUUUGCAGGUUUACUCUGCGUAUCUACUUGAUGACUUCCAGUGUGAAACUUAUGUGCUGACCCAAUUAUAAAAAGAGUAUGUAAGUUAGCACUCCAUGACUUCAACCAUUCACAACGAACUUUGUUCUCCUCUCUCGAUAUUUAGUUCUCGUUUCUGUUGUAUAAGCUCUGUUAUAAUGAUAGCUUUGUCUAUGAAAGAUAAUCAGGAUAAUGGUUAGACAAUGAGCUAAAUGAUCAGUGCCGAUAUUUUUCUGCAUCAAUAUAUGGAAGAUGGAGAACAUCUACCCAUCUGUCUUGACUGUCUUCGGCUAUCUGAGUGCCUCUUCAGUUAUAUUUUGGAGUCUGCCUGCUAUGAGGAAUUGUCAAACUUUAAUGUUGCUAUGCUUCUGAUUCCUUUUCAUCAUUUAAGGAUCUUCUCACAAAACAUGACUUUGUAGUCUCCGAGUUUCUCACCGUUCAUUAUUGAGGUUUGCUUCAGUAUUGUUUUAAGGUUUAGAUGGAGACAUGAGAAGUCUAUUCCUGGUUAUAUAAAUCCUAUAACAAAAUGAAAGAAACAUUUAAAAACCUUCUCCUCCUUUAGCUGACGGAUUAUUUAUGUUUCUUUGAGUUCUUGAUAUUUAUGAAAAGACUUUUUGACAUCUCCAAAUGAUAUGACAAGAAGGCUGUCACUGAAGGUUCUCUUCGCUACAAUUCUUAUGUUGGUGCUAUAUUAGUAUCCGUAUCACCUUUUAAAUAGCGUAGCCAAAAAUGAGAUUAUUCGUGGUUAGUAUAGCUUCUUUAAGAUUUCCUAUUUGCUAACUACUAUUUAAUAGUAUAGGUAUGUUUUGGAUUCAUAUAUUAACUCUUCCUUGAAAGGUAUGUAGUUUGAUCAGUCUACAUGUGAUUAAAUGUUCUGUUUUCUAAAUGUGGGAUAUUAUUCAUGAAUUAAUUAAAGAAGUGAAGAAAUCACUAAAGAACUGGCUUUUUCUUCUCAAUGCAUAUGAAUCUGUAUAUUUGUUUUAGAGACUGAUUCUAGUGUUUGGUUUCUCAUUUAUACUGAUUAAAUUUCUUUAGUGUGUUAACUUGUGGAAAGAAACACAGCCUCAUUCCCUAGAAAGGUCUUGCAUUUCUCGAGGUACGUUAUUCUUCUUUUGAUAUUCUUCUUACGGUUUGAUGUUAUUGGCUCUUUCCUUUGCAGUGAGAGAGCUCAUAGUCUAGUGUGACUAUGUGAGCUUACAUAUAGGAUUCUUUCAAAUCACUUAAUGAAACAGUAAAAGUAUGCCUGCAUCGAAUAAAUACAGACAUCAUGGUUGCUUGGCUUUUUAUUUUGUGCGGUUACCAGCUUUUUGUUUGCUUCAGUCCUUUUACUUUGCUUACUUACUUGCUUUUGUCCCUUAAUAUGUUUUUUUUAUAUGCAUAUAUACUUUCUUGUUUCCGUUUCAUGCUUGUGUGCUUGUUCAUUUCUUCCAUUCUUACUUACUUCUUAAACUGGCUUUCUUACUUGUUUCCUUAACUAAGGAAUAGGUUUAUGCUUGAUUGCUUAAGUUGUUGUAUGUAAAAGGGAAAAGUGCUCUGCUGAAUGUUUUUGGUUUCUGCAGGUUUACUCUGCAUAUCUAAUUGAUGGCCUCAAAUCUGAUAUUUUUUUUGCUGAUCCAAUCACAAAACAAAAAAUAAAAAUUCAAAGGACUUUGCUCUCCUCUUUCUGAUAUAUGGUUCUCGUUUCUGUUGCAUAAACUCUGUGAUAGUGAUAUAUCUUUGUCUAUGAUAGGUGUUCAAGUAUUUCUGGACUUUGAGAUAAAUGAUCACUUGCCAAUAUAUGGUGAAAAUCCCAUAUCCUUUGGGCAGUCUAGACUUUUUUCAUGGGGUAUGUCUUUGUCAAUAUAUAGUAGUUGCAACGUAUAUUUUCUUAGAGUUCAUUUUACUAUGUUUUCUGAAUGAAUGGUUGAUCUCAGAAUUGGGCUUCUAGAUCUAACUCACAAAGCAGAGGACCAUGAAAUUUCUUUAGAAAUGGUUGUACGGUAAGUGAUGAGUUUGAUUUGCCAAUCUAUCUUGUUGAUACACAAGCUACUCUAUGUAUCUACUACAUGUUGAGCUCAAAUCUCUGCAGGCCCAAUCACAAAAAAAGUGAGCAUCUAAGUUAGCAGGCCAUCACUUAAACCAGUCACAAACAAUUUUGUUCUCUUCUUUCGAUAUAUAGUUCCCGUUUCUGUUGUCUAAGCUCUGUGAUAAUGAUAUAGCUUUGUCUAUGAUAGGUGGUCAGGAUAAUAAUUUUCAGGCGAUGAGAUAGAUAGUGCUGAUAUUUUUAAGCAACUGAUCAUAUGUAUAUGGAGAAUAUCUACCCAUCUCUUUUGACUGGCUUUGUCUAUCGUGAGGUAAGUCUUCUUCAAUAUAGUAAUUUCAACUCUAAUUUUCUUUAAGUGUUCACUCUAUAGUAUAUAUUGUUUUUAAUGCGUAGAAGUACUCACUACUCACAAAGUUAGUAGUGUACUCACUACUCACUCACAAAGCAGAGGAGCAAGUUCCUCCCAAGUCGUUGAACUUAGUGAAGCAAGAUUUGUAGCGUUGAGCAAGACCAAACAUCCCCAGGGUGCCUCCAGUGUGAAGCAUCACUACAA
Long non-coding RNA from Capsella rubella, 3826 nucleotides. RefSeq lists it as uncharacterized. The record is from RefSeq and is a predicted model, not a curated record. The transcript is spliced from 5 exons. Lineage: Eukaryota; Viridiplantae; Streptophyta; Magnoliopsida; Brassicales; Brassicaceae.